Long non-coding RNA from Gavialis gangeticus (Gharial), 109 nucleotides. RefSeq lists it as uncharacterized. The transcript is spliced from 4 exons. Lineage: Eukaryota; Metazoa; Chordata; Crocodylia; Gavialidae. The record is from RefSeq and is a predicted model, not a curated record.
UUUAUCAGGGAUUUUUCAGUUUCCAAAUAGGGAAUGCCAGAAUUCUUGCUAGGGAGGCCAGUGGCAGGAUCCUGCCUACUCAAAGCUGGCACCUUGGACCCAGCUGGCU